AUUGAACGCUGGCGGCAUGCCUUACACAUGCAAGUCGAACGGCAGCGGACCUUCGGGUGCCGGCGAGUGGCGAACGGGUGAGUAAUAUAUCGGAACGUACCUUUCAGUGGGGGAGUAACGUAGCGAAAGUUACGCUAAUACCGCAUAUUCUGUGAGCAGGAAAGCAGGGGAGUCGCAAGACCUUGCGCUGAUUGAGCGGCCGAUAUCAGAUUAGCUAGUUGGUGAGGUAAAGGCUCACCAAGGCGACGAUCUGUAGCGGGUCUGAGAGGAUGAUCCGCCACACUGGAACUGAGACACGGUCCAGACUCCUACGGGAGGCAGCAGUGGGGAAUUUUGGUACAAAUGGGCGGCAAGACCUCGAUCCACGCCACUGCCGCCGUGAGUGAAG
This 388-nucleotide ribosomal RNA is filed under the name uncultured bacterium. RNAcentral's name for it is "bacterial SSU rRNA". It matches the Rfam family "Bacterial small subunit ribosomal RNA", at positions 30 to 410 of the family's 1533-position model. The record is from RNAcentral.